This 73-nucleotide transfer RNA is filed under the name Lithobates sylvaticus (wood frog). RNAcentral's name for it is "Rana sylvatica (wood frog) tRNA-Asn". Lineage: Eukaryota; Metazoa; Chordata; Amphibia; Anura; Ranidae. The record is from RNAcentral.
CUAGAAUGACAGGCCUCGAUCCUGUAAUAUUUUAGUUAACAGCUAAACACUCUAUCCAGCGAGCUUCAUUCUA